AUGAUAAGGAGGAGCAAGGAGCAGGAGGUGCGGCGCUACCUGCGCGAGCAAAAGGAGAAGGCCCAAAAUGAAUUGGAUAUAUCUUCCGCCGUCAGGCUGUUUUGUCGUAGGAAUGGUCUCACCCAAAGAUUGCGCUGGAUUAGGACGAUCAACAGAAAAAUCAUCGACAUGGAGGAGAGGGCAAUUAGCUUCACGCUGGAAAGACUGAUGCCAAUCAGAGACACUGUCCAUGGAUAUGUGAUCGAGAAGGAAGACCUAAUAGCUGAAAUUACAAGUCUUAUGAAGAAGGAAAGGGUGAGCAAGAAUGACCAUGAAGCUGGUCCCUCUGUCACGAAGAAGAGUCGUGUGGCGCUAUAA
This 357-nucleotide ribosomal RNA is filed under the name Triticum aestivum (bread wheat). RNAcentral's name for it is "partial small subunit ribosomal RNA". Lineage: Eukaryota; Viridiplantae; Streptophyta; Magnoliopsida; Poales; Poaceae. The record is from RNAcentral.